Molecule: long non-coding RNA, 512 nt
Organism: Pygocentrus nattereri (red-bellied piranha)
Lineage: Eukaryota; Metazoa; Chordata; Actinopteri; Characiformes; Serrasalmidae
Source: Ensembl
AUUCAACACAGGUUUACUACAUUGAGGUUUACAUAGAAGCAGAAGCAUACAAGAAUUUCAUGGACCUGAUUAGUACCCUGACUCUGGAUGUCAAUGAGUCAGUAAACAGCUCAGCAACAGUACAAAACAUCAGCAUUACAACAGAAUGCAACAUGCUGACCACAGGAAUUGUGAUCUGUAACUGCAAUUCAGGCUACAGUUGGAGUGAGGAAGUGUGUCAGAACUACAGCCAGUGCUGCAACCAAAAUGAGUGCAUGUUUAAUGAUCCAAACCCCAGGGCUAUGUGUCUCUCCAUCAAUAAAGUUUUUGUCAAUGGAUCAUUUACUCUUGAUGAGUCAUUCAACCUUUCCCUUAACGAUCCUGGAAGUCAACAAUAUAAAGAGUUUGUCCAGACAUACACUAGUCAGGUGUGUAUUACACUACAAACAUCAAACACAAAAUUGAACAGAAAUCACUAUUUCUACUGUGUGAUUUUAGUCUAAUACUGCUGCCAUCCUGUCUGUAAAAUAAUA